CCGUGACGGAGUGACGCCGCGUGUGGGACGAAGGCCUUCGGGUCGUAAACCACUGUCAGGUGGGAAAGAUGGGUGUCGGCGCGAUAACCGCCGGCAUCUGACGGUACCUGCAGAGGAAGCCCCGGCCAACUCUGUGCCAGCAGCCGCGGUAAGACAGAGGGGGCAAGCGUUGCUCGGAAUUACUGGGCGUAAAGGGCGCGUAGGCGGAAUGGCAAGUCGGUCGUGAAAUCCUUCGGCUCAACCGAAGAACGUCGAUCGAAACUGCCGUUCUUGAGGAUUGCAGAGGAGACUGGAAUUCCCGGUGUAGCGGUGAAAUGUGUAGAGAUCGGGAGGAACACCGGUGGCGAAGGCGGGUCUCUGGGCAAUUCCUGACGCUGAGGCGCGAAAGCGUGGGGAGCAAACGGGAUUAGAUACCCCGGUAGUCCACGCUGUAAACGAUGACGACUAGGUGUGGGGGGGUUCAGUCCCUUCCGUGCCGCAGCUAACGCAUUAAGUCGUCCGCCUGGGGAGUACGGCCGCAAGGUUG
This 526-nucleotide ribosomal RNA is filed under the name uncultured bacterium. RNAcentral's name for it is "bacterial SSU rRNA". It matches the Rfam family "Bacterial small subunit ribosomal RNA", at positions 381 to 896 of the family's 1533-position model. The record is from RNAcentral.